This is a long non-coding RNA of Tetranychus urticae (two-spotted spider mite), 817 nucleotides long. RefSeq lists it as uncharacterized. NCBI's taxonomy places the organism in Eukaryota, Metazoa, Arthropoda, Arachnida, Trombidiformes, Tetranychidae. The record is from RefSeq and is a predicted model, not a curated record.
GAUUCAUUUUAGAAAUAAAAAGUCAAACAGCUAAUUAAUGAUAAAAUUUAUACUUAAUUUCUUAGCUAAAGUACAGAAUACAAUUCACAACUGUGAUUAAUUAGUUUGAAUAUUAUGAUAGGCUUAUGUUUGAAAAGUCCGCUUUGUUUUCUUAACUCUUUGAUUAUCAUUUAUCCGGACAAAAGUAACCUUUUAAUCUCUUAAUCUUGCAAAAGCAGCAUUUUACCAGUUAAACUAGAAUCUCGUCUGACCAACUGUUACUCUUUGGAUGCAAAAUGGACAUCAAAACCAUUGAAUCACUACAAGUUGGAAUGAAUCAUGCAUUUACUCUUUGGACAAUGGAUUGAAUGACUAAACCACUCAAAUGGAGCAUUACUCAGACACUAUCGACCAUUUUGAUCUUGAAUAAUCUUUAAAUAUUUCCGAGUUUUCAAGUAACUUUAGUCCUUUGGUCAUCUUUAAAUUGUACAAAACAAAAAACUGUAACCUUAAUCAUUAAUCCAAACUUUAACCUUCUCUGGAUACGAUAUUAAAUGAUUGUUAAAUCUUCAGAGUCUCUAAGGAUGGGCUUGUGCAGUGAAAAGGAGUAACAACAAACAAAAUGACUACACUGAGCACCAUAAGUAACCCAAACACAUGAUAAGCCAGAAGAAGGAGAGGAAAAAAGGAAUAUUUCAUGCUGCAUUUGUUCAAUAAUUUCUCGUCUGUAUUAUCAGGGAAGAGCAAAUGUAAAAUCAUGGCUAUUUCCAUAUUUCAAUUGAUCUCUUCAAUUUAAUUGAAUUUCCUUGAAAUGUUGCGACUUUCAAGUUUCUCAUUU